Molecule: ribosomal RNA, 422 nt
Filed under: uncultured bacterium
Lineage: Bacteria
Description: bacterial SSU rRNA
Rfam family: Bacterial small subunit ribosomal RNA
Source: RNAcentral
UGGGGAAUAUUGCACAAUGGGGGAAACCCUGAUGCAGCGACGCCGCGUGAACGAAGAAGUAUUUCGGUAUGUAAAGUUCUAUCAGCAGGGAAGAUAAUGACGGUACCCUUGGAGGAAGCCCCGGCUAACUACGUGCCAGCAGCCGCGGUAAUACGUAGGGGGCAAGCGUUAUCCGGAAUUAUUGGGCGUAAAGAGUGCGUAGGUGGUUACCUAAGCAGGGGGUGAAAGGCAAUGGCUUAACCAUUGUUAGCCCCCUGAACUGGGCUACUUGAGUGCAGGAGAGGAAAGCGGAAUUCCUAGUGUAGCGGUGAAAUGCGUAGAUAUUAGGAGGAACACCAGUGGCGAAGGCGGAUUGCUGGACGACAACUGACGGUGAGGCGCGAAAGCGUGGGGAGCAAACAGGAUUAGAUACCCUGGGUAGU